Molecule: transfer RNA, 98 nt
Filed under: Streptomyces sp. TUS-ST3
Lineage: Bacteria; Bacillati; Actinomycetota; Actinomycetes; Kitasatosporales; Streptomycetaceae
Description: tRNA-Val
Source: RNAcentral
GGCGGUGGCGGCCUGGCAGGCGCGGGGCAGGGCCCACCGACGAUGGGUGUGGGCGGCCCUGGCCGCCUCCGUCCUGGCGUUCCUCGUCACCGUCGUCU